GCAGGGGUAGCAAAGCCUGGUCAAAUGCGCAGGACUUAAGAUCCUGUCUCUUAGUGAGUUCGCCGGUUCAAAUCCGGCCCCCUGCA
This 86-nucleotide transfer RNA is filed under the name Microcaldota archaeon. RNAcentral's name for it is "Candidatus Micrarchaeota archaeon (hot springs metagenome) tRNA-Leu". It matches the Rfam family "tRNA". Rfam says of the family: Transfer RNA (tRNA) molecules are approximately 80 nucleotides in length. Their secondary structure includes four short double-helical elements and three loops (D, anti-codon, and T loops). RNAcentral also lists the same sequence under 1 other name. The record is from RNAcentral. Lineage: Archaea; Nanobdellati; Microcaldota.